UACGUAGGUGGCAAGCGUUAUCCGGAUUUACUGGGUGUAAAGGGCGUGUAGGCGGGGAAGCAAGUCAGAUGUGAAAACCACGGGCUCAACCUGUGGCCUGCAUUUGAAACUGUUUUUCUUGAGUGCUGGAGAGGCAAUCGGAAUUCCGUGUGUAGCGGUGAAAUGCGUAGAUAUACGGAGGAACACCAGUGGCGAAGGCGGAUUGCUGGACAGUAACUGACGCUGAGGCGCGAAAGCGUGGGGAGCAAACAGG
Molecule: ribosomal RNA, 253 nt
Filed under: uncultured bacterium
Lineage: Bacteria
Description: partial 16S ribosomal RNA
Rfam family: Bacterial small subunit ribosomal RNA
Source: RNAcentral